Molecule: ribosomal RNA, 254 nt
Filed under: uncultured bacterium
Lineage: Bacteria
Description: partial 16S ribosomal RNA
Rfam family: Bacterial small subunit ribosomal RNA
Source: RNAcentral
UACGUAGGGUGCGAGCGUUGUCCGGAAUUAUUGGGCGUAAAGAGCUCGUAGGCGGUCUGUCGCGUCGGUCGUGAAAACCUGCAGCUUAACUGUGGGCUUGCGGUCGAUACGGGCAUGACUGGAGUUCGGCAGGGGAGACUGGAAUUCCUGGUGUAGCGGUGAAAUGCGCAGAUAUCAGGAGGAACACCCGUGGCGAAGGCGGCUCUCUGGGACGGUACUGACGCUGAGACGCGAAAGCGUGGGGAGCGAACAGG